GACGAACGCUGGCGGCGUGCCUAAUACAUGCAAGUCGAACGAACUCUGGUAUUGAUUGGUGCUUGCAUCAUGAUUUACAUUUGAGUGAGUGGCGAACUGGUGAGUAACACGUGGGAAACCUGCCCAGAAGCGGGGGAUAACACCUGGAAACAGAUGCUAAUACCGCAUAACAACUUGGACCGCAUGGUCCGAGUUUGAAAGAUGGCUUCGGCUAUCACUUUUGGAUGGUCCCGCGGCGUAUUAGCUAGAUGGUGGGGUAACGGCUCACCAUGGCAAUGAUACGUAGCCGACCUGAGAGGGUAAUCGGCCACAUUGGGACUGAGACACGGCCCAAACUCCUACGGGAGGCAGCAGUAGGGAAUCUUCCACAAUGGACGAAAGUCUGAUGGAGCAACGCCGCGUGAGUGAAGAAGGGUUUCGGCUCGUAAAACUCUGUUGUUAAAGAAGAACAUAUCUGAGAGUAACUGUUCAGGUAUUGACGGUAUUUAACCAGAAAGCCACGGCUAACUACGUGCCAGCAGCCGCGGUAAUACGUAGGUGGCAAGCGUUGUCCGGAUUUAUUGGGCGUAAAGCGAGCGCAGGCGGUUUUUUAAGUCUGAUGUGAAAGCCUUCGGCUCAACCGAAGAAGUGCAUCGGAAACUGGGAAACUUGAGUGCAGAAGAGGACAGUGGAACUCCAUGUGUAGCGGUGAAAUGCGUAGAUAUAUGGAAGAACACCAGUGGCGAAGGCGGCUGUCUGGUCUGUAACUGACGCUGAGGCUCGAAAGUAUGGGUAGCAAACAGGAUUAGAUACCCUGGUAGUCCAUACCGUAAACGAUGAAUGCUAAGUGUUGGAGGGUUUCCGCCCUUCAGUGCUGCAGCUAACGCAUUAAGCAUUCCGCCUGGGGAGUACGGCCGCAAGGCUGAAACUCAAAGGAAUUGACGGGGGCCCGCACAAGCGGUGGAGCAUGUGGUUUAAUUCGAAGCUACGCGAAGAACCUUACCAGGUCUUGACAUACUAUGCAAAUCUAAGAGAUUAGACGUUCCCUUCGGGGACAUGGAUACAGGUGGUGCAUGGUUGUCGUCAGCUCGUGUCGUGAGAUGUUGGGUUAAGUCCCGCAACGAGCGCAACCCUUAUUAUCAGUUGCCAGCAUUAAGUUGGGCACUCUGGUGAGACUGCCGGUGACAAACCGGAGGAAGGUGGGGAUGACGUCAAAUCAUCAUGCCCCUUAUGACCUGGGCUACACACGUGCUACAAUGGAUGGUACAACGAGUUGCGAACUCGCGAGAGUAAGCUAAUCUCUUAAAGCCAUUCUCAGUUCGGAUUGUAGGCUGCAACUCGCCUACAUGAAGUCGGAAUCGCUAGUAAUCGCGGAUCAGCAUGCCGCGGUGAAUACGUUCCCGGGCCUUGUACACACCGCCCGUCACACCAUGAGAGUUUGUAACACCCAAAGUCGGUGGGGUAACCUUUUAGGAACCAGCCGCCUAAGGUGGGACAGAUGAUUAGGGUG
Molecule: ribosomal RNA, 1489 nt
Filed under: Lactiplantibacillus pentosus
Lineage: Bacteria; Bacillati; Bacillota; Bacilli; Lactobacillales; Lactobacillaceae
Also listed under: 6 other names
Description: bacterial SSU rRNA
Rfam family: Bacterial small subunit ribosomal RNA
Source: RNAcentral